This 427-nucleotide ribosomal RNA is filed under the name uncultured bacterium. Its description in RNAcentral is "bacterial SSU rRNA". It matches the Rfam family "Bacterial small subunit ribosomal RNA", at positions 355 to 774 of the family's 1533-position model. The record is from RNAcentral.
UGGGGAAUUUUGGACAAUGGGCGAAAGCCUGAUCCAGCAAUGCCGCGUGUGUGAAGAAGGCCUUCGGGUUGUAAAGCACUUUUGUCCGGAAAGAAAUCCUCUGGGUUAAUACCUCGGGGGGAUGACGGUACCGGAAGGAUAAGCACCGGCUAACUACGUGCCAGCAGCCGCGGUAAUACGUAGGGUGCGAGCGUUAAUCGGAAUUACUGGGCGUAAAGCGUGCGCAGGCGGUUUUGUAAGACAGAGGUGAAAUCCCCGGGCUCAACCUGGGAACUGCCUUUGUGACUGCAAGGCUGGAGUGCGGCAGAGGGGGAUGGAAUUCCGCGUGUAGCAGUGAAAUGCGUAGAUAUGCGGAGGAACACCGAUGGCGAAGGCAAUCCCCUGGGCCUGCACUGACGCUCAUGCACGAAAGCGUGGGGAGCAAACA